This is a long non-coding RNA of Rattus rattus (black rat), 489 nucleotides long. RefSeq lists it as uncharacterized. Lineage: Eukaryota; Metazoa; Chordata; Mammalia; Rodentia; Muridae. The transcript has 3 exons. The record is from RefSeq and is a predicted model, not a curated record.
CAGAAGGUCACAGAGUGGAAAUGGAGGAACCGGCCUCUCUCAGGCUGUAGGAAGGAAGAAGGGUGAGGUUGAAUUCCUGGAAGUUGUCUGGCAGAGAAAGGGGGAAGCACAAGGAGAGGUUAUGACAAAGGGAGAUCUUGAACAGUCACCGUGGGUCAGCACUCACAGGGAGACCGCCAAGGCCCGGACAGACUUACCAUGGUUGAUGGUGAUCAGACCUCUACCAGGAGUACUGGGACAAGAGGCCUGGGAAGCUGAUGGACAGAAUAUUUACCACCCUGCAAGGAGAAGGCCAUCCACUACUCCACUGCUCUGGCCAGCAGGAACAUCUUGUCCUUUGUUUGCUGUGACCAACUCAACCCCCUGCUGCUGGAGCCUGGCCUGGCACCUAUCCUAGGCAGAAGGCCAGGCUUUCCCAAAUCCAGCAAGCACAUUGUGAGCAGCCUUGGGAUUCAGAAGGCUGGAAUGGCAGACAUCUGGCCCAGCUGG